This 468-nucleotide ribosomal RNA is filed under the name uncultured bacterium. Its description in RNAcentral is "partial 16S ribosomal RNA". It matches the Rfam family "Bacterial small subunit ribosomal RNA", at positions 28 to 507 of the family's 1533-position model. The record is from RNAcentral.
GACGAACGCUGGCGGCGUGCUUAACACAUGCAAGUCGAACGGAAAGGCCCUGCUUUUGUGGGGUGCUCGAGUGGCGAACGGGUGAGUAACACGUGAGUAACCUGCCCUUGACUUUGGGAUGACUUCAUGAAACUGGGGCUAAUACCGGAUAGGAGCUCCUGCUGCAUGGUGUUGGUUGUAAAGUUUCGGCUGGUUGGGAUGGACUCGCGGCUUAUCAGCUUGUUGGUGGGGUAGUGGCUUACCAAGGCUUUUGCGGGUAGCCGGCCUGAGAGGGUGACCGGCACCAUUGGGAAUGAGAUACGGCACAGAGUCCUACGGGAGGCAGCAGUAGGGAAUAUUGUACGAUGGGCGGAAGCCUGAUGAAGCAACGCCGCGUGAUGGAUGGCGGCCUUCGGGUUGUAAACCGCUUUCGCCUGUGACGAAGCGUGAGUGACGGUAAUGGGCAAAGAAGCACCGGCUAACUACGUG